UAAUUUAAUGGCCGCGGUAUUUUGACCGUGCAAAGGUAGCAUAAUCAUUAGUUCAUUAAUUGUGGACUUGUAUGAAUGGUUGGACGAAAUAUUUACUGUCUCAUAAUUAAUUUUGUAAUUUAAAUUUUAAGUUAAAAUGCUUAAAUUUUUUUAUAGGACGAGAAGACCCUAUAGAUCUUUAUUAUAAUAUAAAUUAUUUUUUUUAAAAUUUUUUAUUAAUUUAUCUUAUUUUUUUGUUGGGGUGACAUUUGGAUAUAUUUAACUCUUUUUUUUAAUAAUCACUUAUUUUUGUAUACUUGACCUUUUAUUAUUGUUAUAAGAUAUAGAUACCUUAGGGAUAACAGCGUAAUAUUUUUUGAGAGUUCUUAUCGACAAAAUAGAUUGCGACCUCGAUGUUGGAUUAAGAUUAUGAUUAGGUGUAGGUGCUUAAUUAUUAAGUCUGUUCGACUUUUAAAUUCUUACAUGAUCUGAGUC
This 474-nucleotide ribosomal RNA is filed under the name Necroscia randolfae. RNAcentral describes it as "partial large subunit ribosomal RNA". It matches the Rfam family "Bacterial large subunit ribosomal RNA", at positions 1920 to 2611 of the family's 2925-position model. The record is from RNAcentral. Lineage: Eukaryota; Metazoa; Arthropoda; Insecta; Phasmatodea; Lonchodidae.